AUGCCAUGGUUCUGCCCUUCUUCCCUCCCCUUCCCUGAUGCUCUUCUCUCCCUCACGCAGGCACACAUCCAACAUCGCCAUGGACCAGUAGCUCAAGCCGUCUUCUUCCAGAUGGUGAUGGAGUUCCCUCACCAUCUGCAGGUCAUCAUCCUUAAGGGCUCCACCAUCUGCAGGUCUUCCUUCUUCUCUUCUCUCUGUUGGAUUCCAUUUGAUUUUUCUGCUCUAUUGGUGAAGCUCCCUCUCUUCUCUGCUGCAGUGUCUACAGUGGACUAUUUGCAUCUUCAGUGCAAAUACCUGAUUGUAUAUGGAUGGAUUGUAGGGUCUAACCACCUUGAUUUGAUUCGGGCUGGAGCAGCAGCAGCAGGUCCUUCCUUCCAUGGAGGGCAUCCACAACAUGACCCGCACAAGGAGCUCCAAGCAGACAAGCACAGGUUUCUUUGUUUGUAA
This 447-nucleotide ribosomal RNA is filed under the name Triticum aestivum (bread wheat). RNAcentral describes it as "partial small subunit ribosomal RNA". Lineage: Eukaryota; Viridiplantae; Streptophyta; Magnoliopsida; Poales; Poaceae. The record is from RNAcentral.